GAGUAAUACAUCGGAACGUGUCCUUAAGUGGGGAAUAACGCAUCGAAAGAUGUGCUAAUACCGCAUAUCUCUCAGGAGGAAAGCAGGGGAUCUAAAGACCUUGCGCUAAAGGAGCGGCUGAUGUCUGAUUAGCUAGUUGGUGGGGUAAAGGCUUACCAAGGCAACGAUCAGUAGCUGGUCUGAGAGGACGACCAACCACACUGGGACUGAGACACGGCCCAGACUCCUACGGGAGGCAGCAGUGGGGAAUUUUGGACAAUGGGCGAAAGCCUGAUCCAGCCAUGCCGCGUGAGUGAAGAAGGCCUUCGGGUUGUAAAGCUCUUUUAGUCGGAAAGAAAGAGUCAUACUAAAUAGCUAUGAUUUAUGACGGUACCGACAGAAAAAGCACCGGCUAACUACGUGCCAGC
This 407-nucleotide ribosomal RNA is filed under the name uncultured beta proteobacterium PV2B. RNAcentral describes it as "bacterial SSU rRNA". It matches the Rfam family "Bacterial small subunit ribosomal RNA", at positions 108 to 512 of the family's 1533-position model. The record is from RNAcentral. Lineage: Bacteria; Pseudomonadati; Pseudomonadota; Betaproteobacteria; Nitrosomonadales; Nitrosomonadaceae.